This 1520-nucleotide ribosomal RNA is filed under the name Klebsiella pneumoniae. RNAcentral's name for it is "bacterial SSU rRNA". It matches the Rfam family "Bacterial small subunit ribosomal RNA". RNAcentral also lists the same sequence under 2 other names. Lineage: Bacteria; Pseudomonadati; Pseudomonadota; Gammaproteobacteria; Enterobacterales; Enterobacteriaceae. The record is from RNAcentral.
AGAGUUUGAUCAUGGCUCAGAUUGAACGCUGGCGGCAGGCCUAACACAUGCAAGUCGAGCGGUAGCACAGAGAGCUUGCUCUCGGGUGACGAGCGGCGGACGGGUGAGUAAUGUCUGGGAAACUGCCUGAUGGAGGGGGAUAACUACUGGAAACGGUAGCUAAUACCGCAUAACGUCGCAAGACCAAAGUGGGGGACCUUCGGGCCUCAUGCCAUCAGAUGUGCCCAGAUGGGAUUAGCUAGUAGGUGGGGUAACGGCUCACCUAGGCGACGAUCCCUAGCUGGUCUGAGAGGAUGACCAGCCACACUGGAACUGAGACACGGUCCAGACUCCUACGGGAGGCAGCAGUGGGGAAUAUUGCACAAUGGGCGCAAGCCUGAUGCAGCCAUGCCGCGUGUGUGAAGAAGGCCUUCGGGUUGUAAAGCACUUUCAGCGGGGAGGAAGGCGUUAAGGUUAAUAACCUUGGCGAUUGACGUUACCCGCAGAAGAAGCACCGGCUAACUCCGUGCCAGCAGCCGCGGUAAUACGGAGGGUGCAAGCGUUAAUCGGAAUUACUGGGCGUAAAGCGCACGCAGGCGGUCUGUCAAGUCGGAUGUGAAAUCCCCGGGCUCAACCUGGGAACUGCAUUCGAAACUGGCAGGCUAGAGUCUUGUAGAGGGGGGUAGAAUUCCAGGUGUAGCGGUGAAAUGCGUAGAGAUCUGGAGGAAUACCGGUGGCGAAGGCGGCCCCCUGGACAAAGACUGACGCUCAGGUGCGAAAGCGUGGGGAGCAAACAGGAUUAGAUACCCUGGUAGUCCACGCCGUAAACGAUGUCGAUUUGGAGGUUGUGCCCUUGAGGCGUGGCUUCCGGAGCUAACGCGUUAAAUCGACCGCCUGGGGAGUACGGCCGCAAGGUUAAAACUCAAAUGAAUUGACGGGGGCCCGCACAAGCGGUGGAGCAUGUGGUUUAAUUCGAUGCAACGCGAAGAACCUUACCUGGUCUUGACAUCCACAGAACUUAGCAGAGAUGCUUUGGUGCCUUCGGGAACUGUGAGACAGGUGCUGCAUGGCUGUCGUCAGCUCGUGUUGUGAAAUGUUGGGUUAAGUCCCGCAACGAGCGCAACCCUUAUCCUUUGUUGCCAGCGGUUCGGCCGGGAACUCAAAGGAGACUGCCAGUGAUAAACUGGAGGAAGGUGGGGAUGACGUCAAGUCAUCAUGGCCCUUACGACCAGGGCUACACACGUGCUACAAUGGCAUAUACAAAGAGAAGCGACCUCGCGAGAGCAAGCGGACCUCAUAAAGUAUGUCGUAGUCCGGAUUGGAGUCUGCAACUCGACUCCAUGAAGUCGGAAUCGCUAGUAAUCGUAGAUCAGAAUGCUACGGUGAAUACGUUCCCGGGCCUUGUACACACCGCCCGUCACACCAUGGGAGUGGGUUGCAAAAGAAGUAGGUAGCUUAACCUUCGGGAGGGCGCUUACCACUUUGUGAUUCAUGACUGGGGUGAAGUCGUAACAAGGUAACCGUAGGGGAACCUGCGGUUG